UACGUAGGGUGCAAGCGUUACUCGGAAUUACUGGGCGUAAAGCGUACGCAGGCGGUUUUGUAAGUCAGAUGUGAAAUCCCCGGGCUUAACCUGGGAACUGCGUUUGAAACUACAAGGCUAGAGUGUGGCAGAGGGGGGUGGAAUUCCACGUGUAGCAGUGAAAUGCGUAGAGAUGUGGAGGAACACCGAUGGCGAAGGCGGCUCACUGGACCGGAACUGACGCUGAGGCGCGAAAGCGUGGGGAGCAAACAGG
This 253-nucleotide ribosomal RNA is filed under the name uncultured bacterium. RNAcentral describes it as "partial 16S ribosomal RNA". It matches the Rfam family "Bacterial small subunit ribosomal RNA", at positions 524 to 776 of the family's 1533-position model. The record is from RNAcentral.